RNAcentral lists this ribosomal RNA (433 nucleotides) under uncultured bacterium. RNAcentral describes it as "partial 16S ribosomal RNA". It matches the Rfam family "Bacterial small subunit ribosomal RNA", at positions 29 to 507 of the family's 1533-position model. The record is from RNAcentral.
AACGAACGCUGGCGGCAGGCUUAACACAUGCAAGUCGAACGGAUCCUUCGGGAUUAGUGGCAGACGGGUGAGUAACGCGUGGGAACGUACCCUUUGCUACGGAAUAACUCAGGGAAACUUGAGCUAAUACCGUAUGUGCCCUACGGGGGAAAGAUUUAUCGGCAAAGGAUCGGCCCGCGUUGGAUUAGCUAGUUGGUGGGGUAAUGGCCUACCAAGGCGACGAUCCAUAGCUGGUCUGAGAGGAUGAUCAGCCACACUGGGACUGAGACACGGCCCAGACUCCUACGGGAGGCAGCAGUGGGGAAUAUUGGACAAUGGGCGCAAGCCUGAUCCAGCCAUGCCGCGUGAGUGAUGAAGGUCCUAGGAUUGUAAAGCUCUUUCACCGGUGAAGAUAAUGACGGUAGCCGGAGAAGAAGCCCCGGCUAACUUCGUG